Molecule: transfer RNA, 76 nt
Filed under: Thermoplasmatales archaeon
Lineage: Archaea; Methanobacteriati; Thermoplasmatota; Thermoplasmata; Thermoplasmatales
Description: tRNA-Asn
Rfam family: tRNA
About the family: Transfer RNA (tRNA) molecules are approximately 80 nucleotides in length. Their secondary structure includes four short double-helical elements and three loops (D, anti-codon, and T loops). Further hydrogen bonds mediate the characteristic L-shaped molecular structure. tRNAs have two regions of fundamental functional importance: the anti-codon, which is responsible for specific mRNA codon recognition, and the 3' end, to which the tRNAs corresponding amino acid is attached (by aminoacyl-tRNA synthetases). tRNAs cope with the degeneracy of the genetic code in two manners: having more than one tRNA (with a specific anti-codon) for a particular amino acid; and 'wobble' base-pairing, i.e. permitting non-standard base-pairing at the 3rd anti-codon position.
Source: RNAcentral
GCCGCCGUAGCUCAGUCGGUAGAGCGCGUGACUGUUAAUCAUGAGGUCCACGGUUCAAGUCCGUGCGGCGGCGCCA